Long non-coding RNA from Haemorhous mexicanus (house finch), 668 nucleotides. RefSeq lists it as uncharacterized. Lineage: Eukaryota; Metazoa; Chordata; Aves; Passeriformes; Fringillidae. The record is from RefSeq and is a predicted model, not a curated record. The transcript has 2 exons.
GUAGGCCUUAUUGACUUGUUCCCGCCCAACAGAGCUGCAUUCCUCUUCCAUCCGGGAGCCAAGCACCUGAACGUUCAACACACAGGAGAAGUGAGAAGUCUUCUAUGUUAUGCUGGCAACUGCAAAAUUUUGAAAAGGUUACAGCUCCUCAAAUCUGGAAGAAGGAUGCCAGGUCUUUCAGGAUGGUUCACCAAGUCCUGCCACAGACUUCUGCCGUGUUUUAAUCUGUUUGACUUCUAAUUCAAAGUCACAUUUGUAUGCACUGCUGAAAAUGCCUCAGAGCUGACACUCUGAAACACCUGAGUGAAUAUUGACCUCUCUGGAGCUGCAAUUCAUGAGGUAAUCUGUCCUACAGUAACCAGUUCAAGUGAAAGAUUUCUCACUAAAAUAUUUGAAGUAAUAUACUGACAAGCUAAUGCCUCUGAAUACAAUUGAUGUCCAUCUUGGCCUCCUUAAGGCAACCUUCACAAUCCCAUUUACCACACAUCCCAUCCCAAGAAAGGUCUUCUUAAUACUUUUUAUUCCCUUUACUUCAGCACAGUAGCUAAGUAUUUUGCCUGUGAUAAAUGUAUUUCAUUUACACUUUAGAAUGAUCUGCACACAAAACAGCCUACUUAAAAGGACUUUAAUCUUUAUGUCCAAAACUAAAUACAUUAAGUGAGUACCAG